This 492-nucleotide ribosomal RNA is filed under the name uncultured bacterium. Its description in RNAcentral is "partial 16S ribosomal RNA". It matches the Rfam family "Bacterial small subunit ribosomal RNA", at positions 28 to 507 of the family's 1533-position model. The record is from RNAcentral.
AUUGAACGCUGGCGGCAUGCUUUACACAUGCAAGUCGAACGGUAACAGGCCUUCGGGUGCUGACGAGUGGCGAACGGGUGAGUAAUGCAUCGGAACGUACCCAGAGGUGGGGGAUAACGCAGCGAAAGCUGUGCUAAGACCGCAUGUGAUCUGAGGAUGAAAGCGGGGGACCGAGCAGCAAUGUUUGGCCUCGCGCCUUUGGAGCGGCCGAUGUCGGAUUAGCUAGUUGGGGGGGUAAAGGCCUACCCAGGCGACGAUCCGUAGCUGGUCUGAGAGAACGGCCGCCCGCACUGGGACUGGGCCAGGGCCCAGGGUCCUGCGGGAGGCAGCAGUCGGGAAUUUUGGACAAUGGUCGCGAGCAUUGUCCAGCAAUGCGGCGUGCGGGAAGAAGGCCUUCGGGUUGGAAACCGCGUUUUGCAGGAACGAAACGGUCUCCGCUGAUACCGGGCGCUAAUGACGGUACCUGCAAAAUAAGCACCGGCUAACUACGUG